Non-coding RNA from Schistosoma mattheei, 48 nucleotides. The record is from Rfam. NCBI's taxonomy places the organism in Eukaryota, Metazoa, Platyhelminthes, Trematoda, Strigeidida, Schistosomatidae.
AUCCGGCUGACGAAUCCCAAAUGGGAUGAAACACCCGUCAAACUGGAU